GCACUGCUGAGGAGUCCCAUACAAAGACGAAACGGCCGUCCAGUGC
This 46-nucleotide non-coding RNA is filed under the name Schistosoma mattheei. The record is from RNAcentral. Lineage: Eukaryota; Metazoa; Platyhelminthes; Trematoda; Strigeidida; Schistosomatidae. RNAcentral also lists the same sequence under 1 other name.